AACCAUCUCGCGUUCUGUUGCAUUUUUGCAUUUAACUAAUUACUAACAAGUUCUUGUAGUUGGUUGAUUUUUGCAGGAAACAUCGCGUGGUGCGCUCUUUAGCUUAUGAAGGGCAAAACGGUCAUUUGUUUACAGCCGGCCGUCAAGUUUGAAUUUUGAGUUGUAAUCAGGAACUUUGGUUUGUUUGAUCUGGUUGGGAGAUUUUAAUCGGAAAUGGUGUCGGAAGCGAAGUUAGUCGGAUAACCAUAUUGCAUUGUACCGUCAUUUUAUUUUAAAUUAAUUUUAUUUAAUUCUAUUUUAUNN
Molecule: long non-coding RNA, 303 nt
Filed under: Lathyrus oleraceus (garden pea)
Lineage: Eukaryota; Viridiplantae; Streptophyta; Magnoliopsida; Fabales; Fabaceae
Description: Pisum sativum (pea) long non-coding RNA (PSAT_LNC001635)
Source: RNAcentral